UCUCAAGGACAGGAUGAACCAUCCAGUAGUAGUGCCAUCCCUGGACAUCAACCACCAGCCAUUGUAGACCCUGCAACAAUCCCUAGCCAAGAAGAACAAGAACCAUCAACCACCAGUUCAGUGCCAGACUGAUUUCCUUUUGAUGAGCCAGUGAGUAAUUCCAGUUUGUAUGUGUUAGCUACAGAUGAUGACGCAUGACUAACAGAAACAGGUUUGGUACAUCAACACAGCCAAACAAACAGGAGGCAACUAAAACAGAAGAAGGGCUUUGAGUUUGUCCCAUAGGCUAGCAGGGGCCCGCAGAGCUGAGGGGCUGCCUCUUUGUGAGGAAAUGAUUUUCUCGGUGCUGAGGAGGACACUCCAAAUCAUCUCCAGCAAUCUCAGUAAUGGCCCUGAGACGCCGCUGCCUUUGUCCUGUAAUGGUGACAGAUGACUGGCUGGGCAGACGGGGGCCAUCCAGAUGCCUAGCAAAAACCUCCACGCGUGUGCACACACAAACACUUGCAUAAAUUGCCACUCCACC
Molecule: long non-coding RNA, 523 nt
Organism: Oreochromis aureus
Lineage: Eukaryota; Metazoa; Chordata; Actinopteri; Cichliformes; Cichlidae
Source: Ensembl